This 264-nucleotide ribosomal RNA is filed under the name Paenibacillus sp. CFBP 13594. RNAcentral's name for it is "partial 23S ribosomal RNA". It matches the Rfam family "Bacterial large subunit ribosomal RNA", at positions 1899 to 2162 of the family's 2925-position model. Lineage: Bacteria; Bacillati; Bacillota; Bacilli; Caryophanales; Paenibacillaceae. The record is from RNAcentral.
CCGAAGCUGUGAACCGAAGCCCCAGUAAACGGCGGCCGUAACUAUAACGGUCCUAAGGUAGCGAAAUUCCUUGUCAGGUAAAUUCUGACCCGCACGAAUGGCGUAACGACUUGGGCGCUGUCUCAACGAGAGAUCCGGUGAAAUUUUAAUACCUGUGAAGAUGCAGGUUACCCGCGACAAGACGGAAAGACCCCAUGGAGCUUUACUGCAGCUUGAUAUUGAAUUUGGGUACGAUCUGUACAGGAUAGGUGGGAGCCUUUGAAG